Non-coding RNA from Paramuricea clavata, 128 nucleotides. The record is from the annotation of a GenBank genome assembly. NCBI's taxonomy places the organism in Eukaryota, Metazoa, Cnidaria, Anthozoa, Malacalcyonacea, Plexauridae.
UUUAUACGUCGAAUUUUGGUCGCGUCGAAUGCAAUUAUAAACAAUGGAUAAUGAGAUGAUAAAUCUUAUUAAAGUUCAUUAUAUAUUGUUUAAAUUGCAUUCGACGCGACCGAAAUUCGACGUAUAAA